UAAACAUGGACCGACGGCAGGCCGGCCCGCUCCCGAGCAUCUAGACUAAAACAACCGACAUGAACCACUCCCUUCAUCCAAAUCCUAUCCUUAGCAUCUCCUCGCCCGCCCCGCCUGCGGCCGCAUCUCGCCCGCCCGCCCGCCCGCCGCCGCCUUCGGUGGCCGCCGCCGGCUGCGGCGAUGGUCCGGGUAGCGGCAGCGGCCUGCUCGGCUCAGCUCGCCCCUCCCUCGCCCUCCUACCUCUCUCUUCCCCUGCCUUCCACCUCCUCCCGGGCUCCCGGCCACAAACCUCGUCGCCCCUUCACCUCCGCCGGCCACCGGGUCCGGAUCCGGCCUUCUCCUCGCCGGAUCCGAGGUACCCAUGGCCGGAUCCAAUUAGGGGUCGCGCCGUCCCUGCCGCCGCUUGCCCCAUGGGGUGUGCCCCUGGUGGUGGCUGCAGGUUCGUGGCCACCGCUGCCGCCACUCGCCCCGGGUCGCUGCUGCGGUGUAGUUCUCUUUCCAUGGCCACCGUCCAGCGACAUCCGCACCCCUUUUGUGCAGAUCCGAGCUGAAGCAGGCAACCCCUCAUUGGAUUUCGGUUCCACUCGUCUGGAUCGAGCAGAAGCAGAUCUCUCCAAGAGGCCAACGAUCCCUGGUUCAAUUUUGGCCAUGGUCAUAAAGCAGAUCCCUUCCUGUCCGGCCCCUCUUAUCUUGUGGUUGUUACAAUCGUGAAAUCAAGGUGGCAUCUUUCAAUGCCCACUUCUUCUGCAAGGGUCUGUGCAAGGAGUCCCUUGAAUGUCCUUUGAUUCAUGGGUACUUGGAAUUCGCAAGGCUGAAAGAUACAAAUAGCUAGUGCUGACUGCUGAAUUAUACUAAGAUCAUGGAGACAACAAGCUCGAGUGUACUUCAUUUCACACACUCUCUUCACCUUUUAUGUUGCAACAUACUCAACUGAUUGGUUGUAAUUUAUUUACAGUGCUGCUGCUGCUAGCUAGCAACUGAAUUGCCUGGAACACUGCAUACUAUGUGAUUGAGGGAAAAGGCUGCGUAGGGAAAGGUACCUUGCUGAAAUCUGGAAGGGCAGCAAGUCGAUAGCUGUUGGCACCCUGCAGCAAGAGCGCUUUCCUUCUCAUUACUUGAUCAGGUAAAAAGACACAAUAUAAUUGAAUUGGCCAGAUCAGCUUUUGAGAUAAUACAUCAAAGGGAUAUACUAGCCUUUCAUUUAGUAGGUUGGUCUCAUUUUUUAAUCUUCAGUUAGAGUGGGUUCAUCUUAAGUAGUUUUGUUCUGAACCAAACUGAACUCCUGUAUGGUUUCUGUGCAUAUUUUAUUUAUUGUUGUGUUCAAGAAUUUACAAAGGACAAUUUAGGAUCAAAAGAUUCUAGUAGUGCUUCUUCACGUUGUUCUAAACCAGACUAAGCACGUGUAUGGUUUCUACCCAUGACUUCGAUCAUCAUUACUAUUUAAUUUUCAAUUCUGACAACUUGCAGAUGGGUCACUAUAUGAUUCAGUUAAUUUUUUCACUUGGUUAGUUAAAAAAAUACAAUGAGAUGGAGCUAGCAGUAAGUUUCAUGAUGAUUCAGUUCAAGUUCAAGGUGAAUUUAUGUUGAUCUUUGGUUUACUUGACCGAAAAUUAUAUUGAGCUGUCUUAUCUAGAAGUUAAGAUAUCUUGCUGGGAAUCCUAUAUACACUAGGAGCUAUAGAAGUUCAAGCAACCUGUAAUAUGGUGAUCUGAAAGAAUGUAUAUUUGGUGGAGUACUCAUACAAUUUGUCAUAAAGACUUUAGAUCAUUUAUUCAUUUUAUUCCAAUAGCUUGAUCUAUGCCAUUUUGAUCUAUAUAAUAGCUUGAUGGAUGUCAUUCUGAUCUGUAUGUAACAUGUGUAUGGAACUAUGAGAAAUAUUGGUUUUGAUGGAGUUAUAAGAAAUUGCAGUUGCGUGUGCAAA
Panicum virgatum (switchgrass) is the source of this 1921-nucleotide long non-coding RNA. RefSeq lists it as uncharacterized. Lineage: Eukaryota; Viridiplantae; Streptophyta; Magnoliopsida; Poales; Poaceae. The transcript is spliced from 4 exons. The record is from RefSeq and is a predicted model, not a curated record.